GCGAGGGGAGAAGGGGUCCCGCCUCCUGGCCGCGCCGCCCUAGGUGUCGCCGCCUGGCGGUUACGAGGAGGCCGCCUCCUGCUUGCCGGCCUGGCGGUCCUACUCAACACCGCAAGAUUUCAAAAGGGAAAUUCCUCCAGGGCUGAGUCACAGGGAAGAAAGCCAUUUCCUCCGCCUCUUCCAAAGCGGAUUUUAUAACUUGACAGCGUGCUGGAACUUCUCUGCUGGACUCCUGGACUCCCACAACGAAAAACAGAAGAAAAGAGGAGAGCUUGGAAAACCAAGAAGAAAAAGAGAAAAGAAGGCCGAAGAGGAGGUUGAGUCCUUACUCCAUGCUGUGUACUUGGCAUCUCACAGGCUGUUCUUCCCUUUCAGUAAGAAGAAAGGAAUUGUAUCAGCAAGUAGAGAUGAGAUUUCACCAUGUUGGCCAAGCUGGUUGCAAACUCCUGACCUUGUGAUCCGCCCACCUCGGUCUCCCAAAGUGCUGGGAUUACAGGCGUGAGCCACAGCGCCCAGCCUGUUGUUUUUGACUGAAGAAAGGUUUGAAGCAGUAUUUGCAGCUUUCCUCCUUUUUUUUUUUUUUUCCAACUAUACAUGCAGUGGCUGUUUCUCUGGAUCCAGAUGCAGCUCAUCCCAACCUCAUCCGAUCUGAGGGUAGAAGAUACACUUCUUCAACAGAGAAUGUUCCCCGAACUGGGAUGCCCCCACACACCAAGGACAAGGGGAAUCCAAAACCAUCUUCAGUGUUCUGGGUUUACCACAGGGGAGACAUUACUUUACCACAGGGGAGACAGACAUUACUGGGAGGUAGAAGUAAAUAAUGGGACAGAAGUUGGACCAGGAACGAGAUGAGCUCUGGGUGUUUGUUCAGCACAAUGAAGAGAGAGUGGUGGUUUGUAGAAAGUCCAGAGAAGAAUUUCUGCAUGGUGACAUGUGAAGAAGGAAGGGUCAUGGCUCUCACUUCCUGCCCAGAGACUCUGUCAGGAGCCUCCCUGUCCCCCUAGAAGGUUUCCAGGACAGCAAGGCUGGAGACGUGUCUUUUCACAAUGAGGUCGAUUAGUCCCACAUCUAUUCUGUUACUGGAAUCACCUUCUGUGGGAUUUUCCAUCCUUAUUCUAGCCUUCAGGGUGCUGGCACAUGUCUGUCCUUCUGCUUAGAUCAUCGUGAAAAUUGUCCUGAUUCUUUUCCAGUUACCUCUGUAACUUCUUUAACGAGUUGUGAUAGAGAUGUUGCCCAGGAAGCUAAUGUUCUAUUAGCAUAAUAAGCAGCGAAGUGUUGGCACCUCUGCUGUCUCCACUGGAGCAUCUUCUAGGUACAUUCACCAGGAAAGCUGUCCUUGGAUGGUUGUGGAGCUAGACAAAAAAGAAAAAAAUCACUGUCCUCAUGGAAGUUAAAUUGUACUGACAAAGGAGGAAAAUGUCAGGGAGUUAACAAUUCAGUCUCUGUGGCUUCCUCCUGUCCUCUCCCUGAAACUGAGAUCCAGCCAAUCUGCACAUCUAUUCUGAGAGUGGCCCCGCUUUAAUGACUACACCCAGCUGUCUACACACCAGGAGGGGAGGGAACUGCAUCCUGAGGCACCAACCCGAUUACCCACCCAACAGCCACAGGGACUUCCAGUGACUGGGGCAUCAUCCUCACGCCACCAACCCCUCUCCUUCCUGUGGCUUUUCUAACUGGAACUGGAACUCAGAAAGUACAUUAAUCACCAAUUUGGGAAGCUAUAGGAAAGUAUGUUUUCUAAUAUACAGUGAGAGAAUGUGACUGAUAAAAACCAAUUUUCUUGAGACUUUCUCCCUGGAAAGUGAAUAUAUUUAUUCAUAGGGCCUUCACAAGCACAGACUAACAAGCAAAGAGCUACAUUCACUAGGAAGGAAGACUCAAAAGUAAGUGAAAAAUAAUAGUUAACCUUUAGAUGUUGUGCAAUAAAUUAUUUUUAAUUACAUUAAAUCAAAAUAGUGUUAACAUAUUUUCAGGUAAACCUAGUAUAUUUACUAAUAAAUUUAAGUCUUCAUAAAUAUAAAGAUAGAUCAAUGUAAAUGUAAAAAUCAUUUGUUAAACUCCAGAGAUUAUAUAAACAAAAAGUGAACCUAAUGUAAAACUGUGGACUUUAGUUGAAAAUAAUGUGUCACUAUUCUUUCAUGGGCUGUAACAAAUGUGCCACACUAAUGUAAGAUGUUAAUAAUAGCAGAAAUAGGGGGGAGAGAGGAGGGAUCUAGGAGCUCUCUGGAUUUUCCAUUUUAUUUUGUUAUAAAUCUAAAACUGUUCUUAAAAAUAAUGUCUGUUAAUUUUUUUUAAAAAAAGGAAAGAAGCACUGAUACAUGCUAUGACAUGGAAGAACUCUAAAAAUAUUAGGCUAAGGGAAAGAAGCCACAUACACAUACACAGAUAGUUUAUGGUUCCAUUUAUAUAAAAUAUUCACAAUAGAAAAGUUCAUAGGGACAGAAAGUAGAUUACCUGGGGAGUAGGGGGUGAAAAAUGGAUAGUAACUGCUUAAUGGGUAUGGAGUUUCGUUUAGGGCGAUGAAAAUAUUCCAGAACUAGAAAGUGAUGAUGAUAGUCACACAGCAAUAUCACAUACACAAUACCACAGAACUGUACACUUUAAAAUGGUUAAAGGGUAAGUUUUAUUUUAUGUUAUGUAUUUUACCACAAUUGAAAAAAAUGUUUAUUAAAAUUAAUGUGCAAACAUUUGUGGAAGAAUAAUGUGUAGUUUCUAACAUUUAUGUGUUUAAAUUUAUGAGUUUAAAAAUAGAAAAAAAAAAUGAUGGCCCAGAAGAGCAAGUCCAGACUGCUGUUCAUGAGUGAUCCUCACAGGACUGUGUUGCCUCUGACGUCGGCCAUCCUGGAGAGCAGCAGAGCAUCACUGGCAGGCCUUCGUCUUCUCACUUCAUAACAUUCUUUCCAAAAGUCUUGUUGACAUUCUUCUGUCUUCCACAUACAGUUUAUCUUCUUGAACUCAUUAUGACUUUAAAAUAUUUUUACUGUGUUACAGGUACUGCUUAUAUUUGUUUAUUUUAUAAUUAUUAAUUUUAAAUUGUGCACUUUAUUUUGCUCUAACAAUAAAAUUGACAUGUUCAUAUAGAUGAUACAUAAUUUUUCGCUUGGAUCGGAAAGUCUAAAACUUUUUUCCUGACUCAAUUUCCUGUAUCAACUUUCUCAAAAAGUCUGGAGGAGGGAUUUUACAACACUUCAUAAGAUUUUCAAGAUUAUAUUUUAGUGAUCAGAUUUUUCUCCCCCUUAUGCAGCUGUAUUUUCUCUCACUUUUUU
This is a long non-coding RNA of Pan troglodytes (chimpanzee), 3266 nucleotides long. RefSeq lists it as uncharacterized. The record is from RefSeq and is a predicted model, not a curated record. Lineage: Eukaryota; Metazoa; Chordata; Mammalia; Primates; Hominidae. The transcript is spliced from 7 exons.